This 497-nucleotide ribosomal RNA is filed under the name uncultured bacterium. Its description in RNAcentral is "partial 16S ribosomal RNA". It matches the Rfam family "Bacterial small subunit ribosomal RNA", at positions 28 to 507 of the family's 1533-position model. The record is from RNAcentral.
GAUGAACGCUGGCGGCGUGCCUAAUACAUGCGAGUCGAGCGAACAGACGAGGAGCUUGCUCCUCUGAAGUUAGCGGCGGACGGGUGAGUAACACGUGAAUAACCUACCUAUAAGACUGGGAUAACUUAGGGAAACCGGAGCUAAUACCGGAUAAUAUAUUGAACCGCAUGGUUCAAUAGAGAAAGAUGGUUUUGCUGUCACUUAUAGAUGGAUCCGCGCCGCAUUAGCUAGUUGGUAAGGUAACGGCUUACCAAGGCAACGAUGCGUAGCCGACCUGAGAGGGUGAUCGGCCACACUGGAACUGAGACACGGUCCAGACUCCUACGGGAGGCAGCAGUAGGGAAUCUUCCGCAAUAGGCGAAAGCCUGACGGAGCAACGCCGCGUGAGUGAUGAAGGUCUUCGGAUCGUAAAACUCUGUUAUUAGGGAAGAACAAAUGUGUAAGUAACUAUGCACGUCUUGACGGUACCUAAUCAGAAAGCCAUGGCUAACUACGUG